Molecule: ribosomal RNA, 478 nt
Filed under: Symbiodinium sp. Mp
Lineage: Eukaryota; Dinophyceae; Suessiales; Symbiodiniaceae
Description: partial Bacterial small subunit ribosomal RNA
Rfam family: Bacterial small subunit ribosomal RNA
Source: RNAcentral
UUGACGGGGGCCCGCACAAGCGGUGGAGCAUGUGGUUUAAUUCGACGCAACGCGAAGAACCUUACCUGGCCUUGACAUGCAGAGAACUUUCCAGAGAUGGAUUGGUGCCUUCGGGAACUCUGACACAGGUGCUGCAUGGCCGUCGUCAGCUCGUGUCGUGAGAUGUUGGGUUAAGUCCCGCAACGAGCGCAACCCUUGUCAUUAGUUGCUACGAAAGGGCACUCUAAUGAGACUGCCGGUGACAAACCGGAGGAAGGUGGGGAUGACGUCAAGUCCUCAUGGCCCUUAUGGGCUGGGCUACACACGUGCUACAAUGGCGGUGACAGUGGGCAGCGAAGGCGCAAGCCGGAGCGAAUCUCCAAAAGCCGUCUCAGUUCGGAUUGCACUCUGCAACUCGGGUGCAUGAAGUUGGAAUCGCUAGUAAUCGUGGAUCAGCAUGCCACGGUGAAUACGUUCCCGGGCCUUGUACACACCGCCC